Molecule: long non-coding RNA, 233 nt
Filed under: Elaeis guineensis (African oil palm)
Lineage: Eukaryota; Viridiplantae; Streptophyta; Magnoliopsida; Arecales; Arecaceae
Description: long non-coding RNA (EGUI_LNC078426)
Source: RNAcentral
UCGAUGUUUUCUCAAAUUGGACGUUUUCAAUGACUUCAAGUUGUUCUAAAACUUUUGCUCCACUUUGCUCCUUAGGUGAUGAUCGUCGGUCGGACUUACCAUCAAAGUAUUGGUUGUAAUGGAUUCUCUAAGAAUGAUUACCAGAUAGAAAUCACUGAUGAUCCAUGAAGCAUAUUUUUCAUCCAUGCUUUAAAUGUAAGGAGGAUGCAUCCUUGUUGCAUAUUGGACAUGCC